Molecule: ribosomal RNA, 433 nt
Filed under: uncultured bacterium
Lineage: Bacteria
Description: partial 16S ribosomal RNA
Rfam family: Bacterial small subunit ribosomal RNA
Source: RNAcentral
AACGAACGCUGGCGGCAGGCUUAACACAUGCAAGUCGAGCGCAUCCUUCGGGGUGAGCGGCGGACGGGUGAGUAACGCGUGGGAACGUUCCCUCUUCUACGGAAUAGCCUCGGGAAACUGAGAGUAAUGCCGUAUACGCCCGCAAGGGGAAAGAUUUAUCGGAGGAGGAUCGGCCCGCGUUGGAUUAGGUAGUUGGUGGGGUAACGGCCUACCAAGCCGACGAUCCAUAGCUGGUUUGAGAGGAUGAUCAGCGACACUGGGACUGAGACACGGCCCAGACUCCUACGGGAGGCAGCAGUGGGGAAUCUUGGAAAAUGGGGGCAACCCUGAUCCAGCCCUGCCGCGUGAUCGAUGAAGGCCUUAGGGUUGUAAAGAGCUUUUAGCUGGGAAGAUCAUGACGGUACCAGCAGAAGAAGCCCCGGCUAACUCCGUG